RNAcentral lists this non-coding RNA (199 nucleotides) under Paenibacillus mucilaginosus. Lineage: Bacteria; Bacillati; Bacillota; Bacilli; Caryophanales; Paenibacillaceae. The record is from RNAcentral. RNAcentral also lists the same sequence under 1 other name.
CUACAUAUGGUAGAAUCAGGUGCUUCCUGCUACGAGAUAUGGUAGGAAGAGAAUAGGGAAGCCGGUGCGAUUCCGGCGCGGUCCCGCCACUGUAAGAAGUGCGCCUGCAGCCCGGCCCGUUCGCCGCUCCGCUGCAGUGCCGCCGUCCGUCCCCGGACGCCUUCGAAGCCAGAAGACCUGCCGGAUUCUUCAGCACGAC